Molecule: ribosomal RNA, 1395 nt
Filed under: uncultured bacterium
Lineage: Bacteria
Description: bacterial SSU rRNA
Rfam family: Bacterial small subunit ribosomal RNA
Source: RNAcentral
AGAGUUUGAUUCUGGCUCAGAUUGAACGCUGGCGGCAGGCCUAACACAUGCAAGUCGAGCGGUAGAGAGGAGCUUGCUCCUCUUGAGAGCGGCGGACGGGUGAGUAAUGCCUAGGAAUCUGCCUGGUAGUGGGGGAUAACGUUCGGAAACGGACGCUAAUACCGCAUACGUCCUACGGGAGAAAGCAGGGGACCUUCGGGCCUUGCGCUAUCAGAUGAGCCUAGGUCGGAUUAGCUAGUUGGUGAGGUAAUGGCUCACCAAGGCGACGAUCCGUAACUGGUCUGAGAGGAUGAUCAGUCACACUGGAACUGAGACACGGUCCAGACUCCUACGGGAGGCAGCAGCGGGGAAUAUUGGGCAAUGGGCGAAAGCCUGAUCCAGCCAUGCCGCGUGUGUGAAGAAGGUCUUCGGAUUGUAAAGCACUUUAAGUUGGGAGGAAGGGCAGUAAAUUAAUACUUUGCUGUUUUGACGUUACCGACAGAAUAAGCACCGGCUAACUCUGUGCCAGCAGCCGCGGUAAUACAGAGGGUGCAAGCGUUAAUCGGAAUUACUGGGCGUAAAGCGCGCGUAGGUGGUUUGUUAAGUUGGAUGUGAAAUCCCCGGGCUCAACCUGGGAACUGCAUUCAAAACUGACUGACUAGAGUAUGGUAGAGGGUGGUGGAAUUUCCUGUGUAGCGGUGAAAUGCGUAGAUAUAGGAAGGAACACCAGUGGCGAAGGCGACCACCUGGACUAAUACUGACGCUGAGGUGCGCAAGCGUGGGGAGCAAACAGGAUUAGAUACCCUGGUAGUCCACGCCGUAAACGAUGUCAACUAGCCGUUGGAAGCCUUGAGCUUUUAGUGGCGCAGCUAACGCAUUAAGUUGACCGCCUGGGGAGUACGGCCGCAAGGUUAAAACUCAAAUGAAUUGACGGGGGCCCGCACAAGCGGUGGAGCAUGCGGUUUAAUUCGAAGCAACGCGAAGAACCUUACCAGGCCUUGACAUCCAAUGAACUUUCUAGAGAUAGAUUGGUGCCUUCGGGAACAUUGAGACAGGUGCUGCAUGGCUGUCGUCAGCUCGUGUCGUGAGAUGUUGGGUUAAGUCCCGUAACGAGCGCAACCCUUGUCCUUAGUUACCAGCACGUCAUGGUGGGCACUCUAGGGAGACUGCCGGUGACAAACCGGAGGAAGGUGGGGAUGACGUCAAGUCAUCAUGGCCCUUACGGCCUGGGCUACACACGUGCUACAAUGGUCGGUACAGAGGGUUGCCAAGCCGCGAGGUGGAGCUAAUCCCACAAAACCGAUCGUAGUCCGGAUCGCAGUCUGCAACUCGACUGCGUGAAGUCGGAAUCGCUAGUAAUCGCGAAUCAGAAUGUCGCGGUGAAUACGUUCCCGGGCCUUGCACUCACCGCCCGUC